GUUUGUUUAGGAUUAGUGCACAUACAUGUUGCGAUUAACUCGAGCUACACGCGGUGGCCGCUGCGAGACACGGAAGAUUUCCCCCCCUUGAUGGAGAUUUCAAGGAGACGCGGGACGAUCGAGGAUCGAAUUAGAGAUGUCAGCAACGGUUCACGAAGUUUCCUUCGAUAACGCCCAACUCUAGACAGCGAGUAGGUGACACACACAGACACACACAGAUAGGGUCUCUGGGAGAGAAAGGACGGGGAACAGAAAGAGCGGAGCACACGAAGGUUGUCAGAAGAGAAAGGAAAGGAAUAGAGAGAUGGGAUUGGAAUAAAAGAGUGACCGAGGGGUGGAAGGAAGGCAGGAACAAUAGAGGAGGAACUGUGCGCGCGGCGCGGCGGUCGAGUAAAAGAAGCCGGCUCUCCGUGAAUCGCGACGUGAAUUUUCACCGGCGAUCGAUCAGCCGGAAAAACGGGAGCAGACAGACAGGCAGAGAGAUAGCGUAAACAGGGGUGGAAACGUCGAGGAGGGCGAAGCUGCAAAGGGGUGAAAAAGCUGAGGCGCGCAAAGGACUCGGGCAGGAGAGGAGGAAGUCGCAUUUUAAAGUGAAAUACGAUUCUAGAGAGUGGUGGGAACGGUCGCGCGGCGGAGGCCAGAGGUGAGCGCGAAAAAGGGAAAGCAGGAAAAAACAAAGCGGCGAAGGAAAGGAAGAAGAAAGAGUUGUGCGGAACGGCGACUGGAGGACGGAAGAGAAAAAGGGGUGCGAAGCCGAGCAAAGCUUACAC
Molecule: long non-coding RNA, 770 nt
Organism: Habropoda laboriosa
Lineage: Eukaryota; Metazoa; Arthropoda; Insecta; Hymenoptera; Apidae
Exons: 4
Source: RefSeq, a predicted model, not a curated record